Long non-coding RNA from Nannospalax galili (Upper Galilee mountains blind mole rat), 3260 nucleotides. RefSeq lists it as uncharacterized. The transcript is spliced from 4 exons. The record is from RefSeq and is a predicted model, not a curated record. NCBI's taxonomy places the organism in Eukaryota, Metazoa, Chordata, Mammalia, Rodentia, Spalacidae.
GUUGGUCAGUGCCAGACUCCAUUGUUUGGCUCCUACUGUGCCCAACUGGUCGUUCAAGAAUUGGAAUGCUUUUCAAUAAAAUUUUCUAAAUUUCAAAUUUUGGUGGGUGGUCACUAGUUAUUCCUGAACCUCAGACCCACUAUUUUGGGGGCUCGUCCAGGAUUUGGGAACUAUAAGCUUGGACCCCCUUUUCUGAGAAUAUUCGGGAAUAUUGGAUGGACCCCCUUUUCUGGGAAGAGCACUCGUCUGCUGUCGGACUUUGUGAAACCACAGGCUCUAAUCAGUCUUCUAGACACUGUCCUUUCACCCACCAACCUACUUGGGAUGAUUGUCAGCAGCUGUUGCAGGUCCUUUUUACCACUGAGGAGAGAGAACGGAUCCAAUAGGAAUGCCAUCAGCUGGUCCCAGGUGAUAAUGGGUGACCCACUGACAAUGAGGACCAGAUAGCUGCUUCCUUUACCCUUACCCGGCCUAUGAGAGGAUGGGACUACAACGUGGCUGAAGUCCAUGCAGGCACUGCAGACAUCCCAGGAUAAUAGCUUUCCCUUGUUGAGACAUGUAUAUGAGCUACCCCCAAUCUGGCCCCACGAGUUUAAGCCCAGGGACCUCAUCUGGGUCAAACGACAUUACAAGGAGACCCUUGGCCCCCAGUGGAAAGGACCCCAUACCGUGAUCCUGACUACAUCGACAGCAGUGAAGGGGUCCCCCCACCAACUGAAAAAUCUGACAUGGAUCCUCAGCAGCACUGCUACCGGGAAGACAGUGGCCUCUGUGUCUAGCCUGGCAUCGAUCGGGACCUGGUAUCUAGAUCUUCACUUUGACCUAUGUGAUCUCCUUGGACAGGACUGGGAUAUGGCCACAUAUGGAUGUGAUUGCCCUGCACCCCACAGUGCUCUCUGUAAACAGCAUUACUACGUAUGCUAAGAAAACAAUGCUAAGGAAAAAUGUUGGGGGGCUACUGACUAUUUCUGUGCCUCUUGGGAUUGUGUUUCCAUGGGUAGUAUUAAUUGGAACCCACCAGCUAAAGAUGACCUACUCCAAGAAAGUAGGGCCCCAGGGUCUUAUUUCCUAGGACUCAUAAGCCCCCCAGGGCUAUCCCAAGUCCCGGGAAUCAGAUUUGCUGAUAUCAGACAUUUGAUGAAGGGGCCAUGCUUAAAUUGUAGAUGCAAUCCUAUAAGGGUAAAAUUUACUCCCCUGGGGAGAGAGGUCAUUUGACAGACACUAUGGUUAAAUGGGGUGACAUGGGGAAUGAGAUUACAUGUCAACCAACAGGAUCCUGGAACCCAGUUUUCCAUCCAACUACAUGUCAGAACCGACACAGGGACCCCGAUUGGCCUCUUGUCACCUAAAGAAUCUUUAAACAUCCUACUACAGGCCCCUAGGGAUACCCCUACUACCCAGGCUCCUUCUUCCAAAGCUCCUACUACCCCUCCCUCAAUUAGGCAACAGGUGCCCCUGACCAUUCUAGAUGCUGUUUUUACCGUUUUAAAUCUCUCUGACUCUAAAUUAUCCUGGAGUUGCUGGUUCUGCCUAGAGCCCAGGCCCCCUUACUAUGAUGGUAUAGCAGUUCUGGGCACUUGCUCCUUCACCCCUGGUGUGAGUCAUUGUAGGACAGGCCCUCCUAUUGGAAGAACGGGCCUUGCCCUCACCCUAGACUACGAGUAAGGCUUAUGUGUUACUUCUAAGAGGGAAAGAUCCCACCCUCCCACCAACAUCUCUGUAGAUCUAAUUCUAGCCUCAUUCUAAAUAGUUCCCACCUAUACAUUGUUCCCCCCACUAACAACUGGUGGGCUUGUACUUCAGGGAUCACCACCUGUCUUCACUCCUUGGUAUGUGAUCAAACGAGGGAAUUCAGUGUGCUAGUACAGCUAGUCUCCCACCUUUUUUACAGGUCAGAUCUAGAAUUGGAGGCUCAGGUCACCAGAUGGGCCCAGCCAGGCAGAGAAAUAGCCAUGGUGGUUAUAGUUCUCUCCAUCCUUUUAGGAGUAGGAGUCUGCCCUAGUGGGCAUUGGAGCCUCGGCUCUGAUUUUGCAGGACCAUAAUUAUCAAGCCCUCCAAACGGCAAUAGAUACAGACCUCUGCAGCUUGGAAAACUCAAACACUUAGAGGAGUCUGUAUCCUCAUUAGCUGAAGUUGCCUAUCAAAACAGGAGGGGCCUAGAUCUCUUACUAGAGAAAGGGAGGUUAUGUGCUGCUUUGGGUUAACAAUGUUGCUUUUAUGUUAACCACUCGGGUGUGAGCAGACAGGCUCUAGCCGAGGUCAGCAGAUGCCUAAAAGAACAGGAGGAUGCUAGUGUCCAGCAACAACAUUGGUAUGAAUCCUUAUUCACAUGGUGCCCAUGGUUAACUACACUUAUUAGAGCACUUGUGGGGCCCCUAUUAAUAUUUUUGUUUGCCCUUACAUGUGGGCCAUGUCUGAUAAAUGCCCUCCUCAGGUUCAUAUGGACUGGGCUGGACACCAUCCAACUGAUGGUCCUCCAUACUCAGUACAGCCCAGUGGCCCAGAAAGGCCCUUUACCCCAGACAACUGCUGGCUAACUGCAAAACAUAUAGCUUCUGUAUAAUUGCUUGCUUGCUAUGUUUUAAAGAUUUAACCCAUGUUGCAACUCAAGGGGGAAAUGAAGGAUCCAGGUCACACUGGCUCCAUUUUUUAGCAGCCUCCAUCUUGUCAAUCUUAAGUCUCUGUUCCUAGAAACUGUAAGUCUCGUUUGCCCCAUACUGUGGGAUAAGAUUAGGCAAGCCCGGACAUGCCUUGUUUAUCUGAGUCUAAAGGAAAGCAACCGAAAUGCCUGACCAUAAAAGGGCAUCCAUAGGCCGAUAGGGGCACCCUACCAUAAAAGGAAAAAUUGAGACAUUCCAGGUGGCUGACCAUGACUAUAACCAAUGACAUUUCCCCCCGUACAAAAAAAAUCAGAGUUAACCAAUCAAAUCAAAGGUCACCCAGUUUGUGUGGGCUUUUUUAAGAGAAUUCCCCCCCAAAACCCUGCUCAUUGUUGGUUAGGGCCAGACCCCAUUCAUUGGCUCCUGGGGUCUGUGCCGGACUGGUCAUUCAAGAAUUAGAAUACUUUUCAUAAAUUUUGAAUUUUGGUGGGUGAUCUCCAGUUAUUCCCGAACCUUGGACCCAACAAGUUCUGGAUAGGAUUAUACGAAACAAUUCUGAUAAAUUCCUGAGCACAGUGUCUGGCACAAGGUGCUAUUAAAAAAAAAUAGUACUUUUCUUCUUUUUCUGAAACUGCCUUUUUUUAAAAAUAAAUAAUUUUG